This is a small nuclear RNA of Cynocephalus volans (Philippine flying lemur), 105 nucleotides long. The record is from RefSeq and is a predicted model, not a curated record. NCBI's taxonomy places the organism in Eukaryota, Metazoa, Chordata, Mammalia, Dermoptera, Cynocephalidae.
AUAUUCCCUUUGGCAGCAUGUAUUCUAAAAUUGGAACAAUACAGAGAAGGUUACACGGUCCUUAUCAAGGAUGACACACAAAUUCAUGAAGCAUUCCAUGUUUUU